Molecule: small RNA, 619 nt
Filed under: Pongo abelii (Sumatran orangutan)
Lineage: Eukaryota; Metazoa; Chordata; Mammalia; Primates; Hominidae
Description: processed transcript
Source: RNAcentral
UUAAUGUUACUCCGUAGCUAAUAAAUGUGGCUAGUGGAUGUCUGAGUGCUGGGGCCCCAGCUAGAGCUGCCCCUCCUGUCUGGGGCAGACGCCGCGGGGAGCCCCACGCUCAGCCCAGGUGGCGCGAGCUGGUAUUUGGUCCCAAAAACUGCUGAGAGCCAGAGAUUCGAAUGAAGUGAUAAAUCCUGAGGUUUAUUUUACAUGGAGUGUUUAAAGAGCAGAAGGAAGUGCGUGAUAAGUGCCCUUUCGCGGUGAGCACGCGAGCCUCACAUUCUCUACCCUUCCCGCUCUGUGCUCUUGGCAGCUCCCCUCCCACCCGGUCACUCCGUCCAGCAAGCACGCAGACAGCAAGCCCGCGCCGCUGACGCCCGCCUACCACACGCUCCCCCACCCGUCCCACCAUGGUACCCCCCACACCACCAUCAACUGGGGACCCCUGGAGCCUCCGAAAACACCCAAGCCCUGGAGCCUGAGCUGCCUGCGGCCCGCGCCUCCCCUCCGGCCCUCAGCUGCUCUCUGCUACAAGGAGGAUCUUAGUAAGAGCCCCAAGACCAUGAAAAAACUGCUGCCCAAGCGCAAACCUGAACGGAAGCCUUCAGAUGAGGAGUUCGCGUCCCGG